This 265-nucleotide ribosomal RNA is filed under the name uncultured archaeon. Its description in RNAcentral is "partial 16S ribosomal RNA". It matches the Rfam family "Archaeal small subunit ribosomal RNA", at positions 719 to 982 of the family's 1478-position model. The record is from RNAcentral.
ACACGACUACAUUAGAUACCCGUGUAGUCCUAGCCGUAAACGAUACUCGCUAGGUGUCGGCCACGGUGCGACCGUUGUCGGUGCCGUAGGGAAGCCGUGAAGCGAGCCACCUGGGAAGUACGGCCGCAAGGCUGAAACUCAAAGGAAUUGGCGGGGGAGCACCACAACGGGUGGAGCCUGCGGUUUAAUUGGACUCAACGCCGGGAAGCUCACCGGAUAAGACAGCGGAAUGAUUGCCGGGCUGAAGACCCUGCAUGACCAGCUG